AGCUUCCAGAAGUGGAAAGAUUUUUAAAUAAGUCUUUUAACUUUUUGCCUGUGGAUACAGCUGCGUUGACACAAAGCCACAUUUGAGGCAUGAUGUCUCGGAAGCCUGGCACCACGGACUGUUUUUCUACUGGGACCCAUAAUUGCUGCCUUUUAAGAGGUGUCCUGUGUUCAGUUUUAUCAAUGUGGUGCUUGAACCGGACUUUCAGCUGACUCCCAAAAGGAAAUAGUUUUAAAAGGAAGAAUUUUAAGUCUGCCAAGAGCCAGAUAAUGGCAUAGCACAGAGAAAAGCCAGGGUUUUGUGGUUUGUAUAUUAAAAUACAAGUCUCUUAAUGCCUCAAAACAGCAGCCUCCAGAAAAUGGGAAGUUUAAUAGAUGAGGCUA
This 383-nucleotide long non-coding RNA is filed under the name Homo sapiens (human). RNAcentral's name for it is "HSALNT0265146". Lineage: Eukaryota; Metazoa; Chordata; Mammalia; Primates; Hominidae. The record is from RNAcentral.